RNAcentral lists this ribosomal RNA (499 nucleotides) under uncultured bacterium. RNAcentral describes it as "partial 16S ribosomal RNA". It matches the Rfam family "Bacterial small subunit ribosomal RNA", at positions 899 to 1397 of the family's 1533-position model. The record is from RNAcentral.
ACUCAAAGGAAUUGACGGGGACCCGCACAAGCAGUGGAGCAUGUGGUUUAAUUCGAUGCUACGCGAAAAACCUUACCACCUCUUGAAUCCAUUUGACCGGUACAGAAAUGUACUUUUGGAGCAAUCCACAGAUGAGACAGGUGUUGCAUGGCUGUCGUCAGCUCGUGUCGUGAGAUGUUAGGUUAAGUCCUUCAACGAGCGCAACCCUCAUCCUUAUUUGCCAUCGGGUUAUGCCGGGAACUAUAAGGAAACUGCCAGCGACAAGCUGGAGGAAGGUGGGGACGAUGUCAAGUCAUCAUGGCCCUUAUGAGGUGGGCUACACACAUGCUACAAUGGUGGUUACAGCAGGAAGCGAAAGAGCAAUCUGGAGCAAAUCCCUAAAAGCCAUCUCAGUUCAGAUUGAGGGCUGCAACUCGCCCUCAUGAAGUUGGAAUUGCUAGUAAUCGUAGAUCAGCACGCUACGGUGAAUACGUUCUCGGGUCUUGUACACACCGCCCGU